GGCCAAGUUUUUAAGGGCGCACGGUGGAUGCCUUGGUACCAGGAACCGAUGAAGGACGUGGGAGGCCACGAUAGUCCCCGGGGAGCCGUCAACCAGGCUUUGAUCCGGGGGUUUCCGAAUGGGGAAACCCGGCAGUCGUCAUGGGCUGUCACCCACAUCUGAACACAUAGGGUGUGUGGAGGGAACGCGGGGAAGUGAAACAUCUCAGUACCCGCAGGAAGAGAAAACAACCGUGAUUCCGGGAGUAGUGGCGAGCGAAACCGGAUGAGGCCAAACCGUAUGUGUGUGAGACCCGGCAGGGGUUGCGCAUGCGGGGUUGGGGGAUCUCUCUUUCACAGUCUGCCGGCUGUGAGACGAGUCAGAAACCGUUGGUGUAGGCGAAGGACAUGCGAAAGGUCCGGCGUAGAGGGUAAGACCCCCGUAGUCGAAACAUCAACGGCUCGUUUGAGAGACACCCAAGUAGCACGGGGCCCGAGAAAUCCCGUGUGAAUCUGGCGGGACCACCCGCUAAGCCUAAAUAUUCCCUGGUGACCGAUAGCGGAUAGUACCGUGAGGGAAUGGUGAAAAGUACCGCGGGAGCGGAGUGAAAUAGUACCUGAAACCGUGUGCCUACAAGCCGUGGGAGCGUCGCGCAAGGAACUUGUUCCUUGCGUCGUGACUGCGUGCCUUUUGAAGAAUGAGCCUGCGAGUUUGCGGUGUGUUGCGAGGUUAACCCGUGUGGGGAAGCCGUAGCGAAAGCGAGUCCGAAUAGGGCGAUUCAGUAGCGCGCUCAAGACCCGAAGCGGAGUGAUCUAGCCAUGGGCAGGUUGAAGCGGCUGUAAGAGGUCGUGGAGGACCGAACCCACCAGGGUUGAAAACCUGGGGGAUGACCUGUGGUUAGGGGUGAAAGGCCAAUCAAACUCCGUGAUAGCUGGUUCUCCCCGAAAUGCAUUUAGGUGCAGCGUCGUGUGUUUCUUGCCGGAGGUAGAGCACUGGAUAGGCGAUGGGCCCUACCGGGUUACUGACCUUAGCCAAACUCCGAAUGCCGGUAAGUGAGAGCGCGGCAGUGAGACUGUGGGGGAUAAGCUCCAUGGUCGAGAGGGAAACAGCCCAGAGCAUCGACUAAGGCCCCUAAGCGUACGCUAAGUGGGAAAGGAUGUGGAGUCGCACAGACAACCAGGAGGUUGGCUUAGAAGCAGCCACCCUUGAAAGAGUGCGUAAUAGCUCACUGGUCUAGUGAUUCCGCGCCGACAAUGUAGCGGGGCUCAAGCGUACCGCCGAAGUCGUGUCAUUCCAGCAUAUAGGGCCAACGCCCGCUGGGAUGGGUAGGGGAGCGUCGUGUGCCGGGUGAAGCCGCGCCGGAAGGCAGUGGUGGACGGUUCACGAGUGAGAAUGCAGGCAUGAGUAGCGAUACACACGUGAGAAACGUGUGCGCCGAUUGACUAAGGGUUCCUGGGUCAAGCUGAUCUGCCCAGGGUAAGUCGGGACCUAAGGCGAGGCCGACAGGCGUAGUCGAUGGAUAACCGGUUGAUAUUCCGGUACCCGCUGUGAAGCGUCAAACAUCGAACCAGGCGAUGCUAAGUCCGUGAAGCCGUUCCGGACCCUUCGGGGAAUGGAAAGUGGUGGAGCCGACGGACCAGACCUGUAGUAGGUGAGUGAUGGGGUGACGCAGGAAGGUAGUCCAGCCCGGGCGGUGGUUGUCCCGGGGUAAGGGUGUAGGACGUCAGGUAGGUAAAUCCGCCUGGCACAUAGUCUGAGACCUGAUGCCGAGCCGAUUGUGGUGAAGUGGAUGAUCCUAUGCUGUCGAGAAAAGCCUCUAGCGAGUUUCAUGGCGGCCCGUACCCUAAACCGACUCAGGUGGUCAGGUAGAGAAUACCGAGGCGUUCGGGUGAACUAUGGUUAAGGAACUCGGCAAAAUGCCCCCGUAACUUCGGGAGAAGGGGGGCCAUUCUUGGUGAUCCGAUUUACUCGGUGAGCUGGGGGUGGCCGCAGAGACCAGCGAGAAGCGACUGUUUACUAAAAACACAGGUCCGUGCGAAGCCGUAAGGCGAUGUAUACGGACUGACGCCUGCCCGGUGCUGGAACGUUAAGGGGACCGGUUAGUACGCUUUCGGGCGUGCGAAGCUGAGAACUUAAGCGCCAGUAAACGGCGGUGGUAACUAUAACCAUCCUAAGGUAGCGAAAUUCCUUGUCGGGUAAGUUCCGACCUGCACGAAUGGCGUAACGACUUCUCGACUGUCUCAACCAUAGGCCCGGUGAAAUUGCACUACGAGUAAAGAUGCUCGUUUCGCGCAGCAGGACGGAAAGACCCCGGGACCUUUACUAUAGUUUGAUAUUGGUGUUCGGUUCGGCUUGUGUAGGAUAGCUGGGAGACUGUGAAGCUUGAGCGCCAGCUCAGGUGGAGUCGUCGUUGAAAUACCAGUCUGGUCGUGCUGGAUGUCUAACCUGGGUCCGUGAUCCGGAUCAGGGACAGUGUCUGAUGGGUAGUUUAACUGGGGCGGUUGCCUCCUAAAGAGUAACGGAGGCGCCCAAAGGUUCCCUCAGCCUGGUUGGCAAUCAGGUGUUGAGUGUAAGUGCACAAGGGAGCUUGACUGUGAGACCGACGGGUCGAGCAGGGACGAAAGUCGGGACUAGUGAUCCGGCGGUGGCUUGUGGAAGCGCCGUCGCUCAACGGAUAAAAGGUACCCCGGGGAUAACAGGCUGAUCUUCCCCAAGAGUCCAUAUCGACGGGAUGGUUUGGCACCUCGAUGUCGGCUCGUCGCAUCCUGGGGCUGGAGUCGGUCCCAAGGGUUGGGCUGUUCGCCCAUUAAAGCGGUACGCGAGCUGGGUUUAGAACGUCGUGAGACAGUUCGGUCCCUAUCCGCUGUGCGCGUAGGAGUCUUGAGAAGGGCUGUCCCUAGUACGAGAGGACCGGGACGGACGAACCUCUGGUGUGCCAGUUGUCCUGCCAAGGGCAUGGCUGGUUGGCUACGUUCGGGAGGGAUAACCGCUGAAAGCAUCUAAGCGGGAAGCCUGCUUCGAGAUGAGGACUCCCACCCACUUGAUGGGUUAAGGCUCCCAGUAGACGACUGGGUUGAUAGGCCGGAUGUGGAAGCCCUGUAAAGGGUGGAGCUGACCGGUACUAAUAGGCCGAGGGCUUGUCCUC
Molecule: ribosomal RNA, 3124 nt
Filed under: Streptomyces sp. LRE541
Lineage: Bacteria; Bacillati; Actinomycetota; Actinomycetes; Kitasatosporales; Streptomycetaceae
Description: 23S ribosomal RNA
Rfam family: Bacterial large subunit ribosomal RNA
Source: RNAcentral